This 540-nucleotide transfer RNA is filed under the name uncultured cyanobacterium. RNAcentral describes it as "partial miscellaneous RNA". The stretch from base 211 to 283 matches the Rfam family "tRNA". The record is from RNAcentral. Lineage: Bacteria; Bacillati; Cyanobacteriota.
CAGGGAGACAACAAAAUGUUUAAUAUUAUUAUUUUGUCACCUUAGGUCGAUCGGUAUCUCACGUUUUUAAUUUAUUAAGAAUUUCAUUUCCUAAGUUUUUCUAGGUCACACCCAUUAUUUUCCUGGGCCAUUAGCUCAGGUGGUUAGAGCGCACCCCUGAUAAGGGUGAGGUCCCUGGUUCAAGUCCAGGAUGGCCCAUAUCUCUAUGUUGGGGGUAUAGCUCAGUUGGUAGAGCGCCUGCUUUGCAAGCAGGAUGUCAGCGGUUCGAGUCCGCUUACCUCCACUGAUUACCACCUCUUCCAUAACCGGUAUAAAGGAAAUGUUUUGAGUUGUGAUCAAAUUCUGAAAGAAUCUAGCUUCCUAAUGAAUUCAUUAAGAUGCUGGACUCAUUGAAUUAAUUUCAUUGUUUUCAGAGAACCUUGACAACUGCAUAGAUUAUUUUUAAAGACAAUAAGCAUCUUUGAUGAUGCAGAUUUAUUAUUUGUGCGAAUGCAUUAAUAACAAUUCUAUUAAGCUGAUGCUUCAAUUUUUGAAGUUAUU